AGACACUGAUGAGGGGGAACCAGGAAGAAGACCCAAUGCAGUAGCCAUAUCCAUUACAGUUGGUGCAGAUCCAAUUGACCGUGGGGAAGGGACAGCAGAUCCAGUGGACACAUACAAUGGCCUCAGUUCUUCGUUGGUGUGAGCAAAGAAGCAGACCCGCCUAUUGCAACUGGUUCCAUCCUUGCAAAGACGAGUUCGGUACUGUGCUGGAUGUAGCCAACACUCAAAAACUCCAUGUGCAUAU
This 244-nucleotide unclassified non-coding RNA is filed under the name Hevea brasiliensis (rubber tree). The record is from RNAcentral. Lineage: Eukaryota; Viridiplantae; Streptophyta; Magnoliopsida; Malpighiales; Euphorbiaceae.